RNAcentral lists this ribosomal RNA (403 nucleotides) under uncultured bacterium. RNAcentral describes it as "partial 16S ribosomal RNA". It matches the Rfam family "Bacterial small subunit ribosomal RNA", at positions 28 to 526 of the family's 1533-position model. The record is from RNAcentral.
GACGAACGCUGGCGGCGUGCCUAAUACAUGCAAGUCGAACGCAGUGGGGACUGGUGAGUAACACGUUGGUAACCUCCCAUCAGAGGGGAUAACACUUGGAAACAGGUGCUAAACCGAUACUGAUUGAUGUACCCGCGGUGCAUUAGCUAGUUGGUGAGGUAACGGCUCACCAAGGCCACGAUGCAUAGCCGACCUGAGAGGGUGAUAGGACACACUGGGACUGAGACACGGGCCAGACGCCUACGGGAGGCAGCAGUAGGGAAGAUUCGGCAAUGGACGAAAGUCUGACCGAGCAACGCCGCGUGAGUGAAGAAGGUUUUCGGAUCGUAAAACUCUGUUGUUAGAGAAGCGGUAUCUAACCAGAAAGCCACGGCUAACUACGUGCCAGCAGCCGCGGUAAUUC